AAAAUCGGGGCACGGUCAUCGUGGAGCGCUGGUGGAAGGUACCGCUGGCCGGGGAGGGCCGGAAGCCGCGCCUGCACCGGCGACAUCGCGUCUAUAAGCUGGUGGAGGACACGAAGCAUCGGCCCAAAGAAAACCUGGAGCUCAUCCUGACGCAGUCGGUGGAGAGUAAGGCCCGGGCCGAGGCGCUUCCUCUCAGGCUGAUGUUGGAGUCCGGGGUGACCUGGUCUCAGUGAAGAAAUCUUUAGGCCGGAAUCGACUCCUUCCUCAGGGACUGGCUGUAUAUGCAUCCCCUGAAAACAAGAAGCUGUUUGAAGAGGAGAAAUUGCUGAGACAAGAAGGAAAAUUAGAGAAGAUCCAGACCAAGGCAGGUGAGGCGACCCAAGAGUGGGAGAAAGGGGAAGUGUUGUGGCUGCCCCACAAAACAGACAGUGAAAUUUCUAAAAAGCUGUCGCCUGGAGGUAGGGAUGAAGAACAAUGUCAAAUGGGAGCUGAACCCUGAAAUA
This 503-nucleotide long non-coding RNA is filed under the name Homo sapiens (human). RNAcentral describes it as "non-protein coding lnc-TDRKH-1:3". The record is from RNAcentral. Lineage: Eukaryota; Metazoa; Chordata; Mammalia; Primates; Hominidae.